Small nuclear RNA from Dromiciops gliroides (monito del monte), 107 nucleotides. NCBI's taxonomy places the organism in Eukaryota, Metazoa, Chordata, Mammalia, Microbiotheria, Microbiotheriidae. The record is from RefSeq and is a predicted model, not a curated record.
AUGCUUACUUUGGCAGCACAUGUAAUAAAUUUGAAAUGACACAGAGAAGAUUAUCAUGGCCCCUGUGCAAGUAUGACACACACAUUUGUAAAGUGUUCCAUACUUUU